RNA transcript from Dunckerocampus dactyliophorus (ringed pipefish), 3137 nucleotides. It is a transcript of the gene named zinc finger protein 362a, with no coding region annotated. The transcript is spliced from 10 exons. Lineage: Eukaryota; Metazoa; Chordata; Actinopteri; Syngnathiformes; Syngnathidae. The record is from RefSeq and is a predicted model, not a curated record.
UCCCCUUAAAACGCACACGCGUUGAAUAUGGAGGAAAAGCGGUGCCUGUCCAAAAAGCGUCCAAAUAAAAAGGCAUGAAAUGGGUUAAAAAGAAGGAGUGUAGUGUGCUGUGGGGUUCUCCUCUUGCAGGACCCAGAAGUGAACAGCAGGCGACCCGGAAGGCUUGAAGGUUGGGAAUCGAGCAGAAAAAAGAAGAGAAGACUCCAAUCCUUGCGAAAAAAAAAUCAUCUUUCAGAAUGGCUGAACCUCGCUUCAACAGUCCCUAUUUUUGGCCCCCGCCUCCUGCCAUGGCUGUCAGCCAGGAGCAGCUGAUGGCAGAGAAGAUCAGAGCGCCUCAUCCCCCCACCACCACCCUCCCUUCCCAGCAUACCUUGCUAACGCCCCCCAGCCAGGAGGACGGCGGCCAGCACGAGAUGUCCAAAGCCCAACAUACGCCAGGUCUCAACCGGCCGUCUCAGGGGGACGUGGUCCUGCACGCCAGCCCUGCCCGGCCCGCCUCCAGCUCGCUUACAGGUCGCAUUCUUGGGGACGUAAACUUGAACCUCGACGACAAGGCGGCGAUCAAAGCCAGAGGAUUAUGGGAGGACUGGCGUCAGCUCAUAGACCAUCCUGCUAGGACAAACCACCUGUCAGGUGUCUCACUCGCCUCCCGAACAGGAAAUCUCAGCAACUCCGAGGUCACUGCCCCCACGACGCCAUCUCCUAGCAGCCCUGCCCGGCUAGUGGGCGGCGCCUCCACACCUCACCUCCUCUCGGGCUUCUCCAGCCCCCACGGAGUGGAGCCAGCGAGAACCAACGGAGGUCUCCUGGGUCUCCUCGGUGGGUCGAAGCCGAGAGAAGGACGCAGAAGAAUCAAAGCGGAGAACGGCUCAUCGCUGCUGGUGGUUCCAUACCCCAUCAUGGCGUCCAGCAACGACCAGUCAUGCAUUACCAUCACUGCCAAAGAGAAGACAUACAGGUGUAAAGUGUGCCCGCUGACCUUCUUCUCCAAGUCGGACAUGCAGAUCCACUCCAAAACACACACGGAGGCCAAGGCAUACAAGUGUCCUCAUUGCACCAAAACCUUCGCCAACGCUCCCUACCUGGCCCAGCACCUGCGCAUACACCUGGGCCUCAAGCCGUACCGCUGCUCCUACUGCGAGAAGAGUUUUCGCCAGCUGUCACACCUGCAGCAGCACACAAGAAUCCACACGGGGGACCGGCCGUAUAAAUGCUUCCAGCCUGGAUGUGAAAAAGCCUUCACUCAGUUGUCCAAUCUGCAGUCUCACCAGAGGCACCACAACAAAGACAAACCCUUCAAGUGUUCCAACUGCUACCGGGCCUAUUCGGACUCAGCCUCACUGCAGAUCCACCUGUCGGCCCACGCUAUCAAGGCCGCCAGGGCCUACUGCUGCAGCACAUGCGACAGGGCGUACACGUCGGAGACCUACCUCAUGAAGCACAUGUGUAAACGCUCGGCGGUCCAUCACGGGGGGCCGCGUCACUCCGCCGAGCGCAGGGCUGACCCUGCCCUCCACCCCCGCACCGAUUCCUCUGACUUGAGCGCCUCCAUCUUGUCUCGACAUCACCUUUCUCUUGCCGUCUAAUAUGGUGGACUUUAAAGGCACUGAGGGUCAUUCAAGUGUACCCGUGUGUUAAUAAUAAUAAUAAUAAUAAUAAUAAUAAUAAUAAUUUGGAACGUCCAAAUGUGUCUAAUGAGCACUUUCAGGUCUGAAAACGACAGACUUAAAAAAAAUACAAUGAAAUCAUUGUGUAAUAUCACAGCAAGUGUUAUGUGCAAGAUAUUUUUAAAUCUAUUGUAAUGUACCAGAUUGUGUUUUUUAUACGCUCCCUAACUUUUGUAUGCUGGUAAGAUACUGUAGAAAGAUUUUAGAAAUAGUCCUCACUCAUGAUGUCGGUCUGUGUAUACAGUAUUAUUAUUCAUGUUUUAUACCAUGACUCUCCAUUCGCCUACAGGAGGAUGCAUUUUCAUGUGUAGAUGAUGCAUUCAAACUGCCUUGUGUGUCCUAACACGGCACAAGGACACAUUUACAUUCCAAAAUAUACUACACUAAGUCCCCAACUAACGAACACAAUUGGUUCCAGACGACCGUUCUUAUGUUGAAUCGCUCUUAAGUCGGGGAAAAGGUAAUAUUACCAAAGAUAUAAGUACUACAUGUACGUGUAUACAUAUACAGUAUAUGUGUAUGUAUGGAAAUAUGAGUUUGGAUGCAGUAGUAAUAUUAAACGAGGAUAAUUAAUGAAAAAAACAAUAAUAAAAGUGAUAUAAUAAUACAUAAUGAUAAAUGUUAUUUACCUUUGAAGAGGAGUGGUCGAGCAUACGUCGUUGUGGAGGAGUUGGAGGAGGAGAUAGUGAAAAAAAGGAGAAAUGGUCAUCGUCGUUAGACUCUUCUAAAAGAGGUAAUGUUCUAUGAGUGGUGUAGAAUUAAGCAGGCCUAUUAACUCUUCAUAAACUUUAAUCACACGCUCUGUCCGGGUUGUACAAUUUAGCUUUCCAUUUAGCUUUACACUGUAUCUCCCCAGCGUCUAACUCUUCCUCUGUUGGUCCCAUUAGCUCUAAGACUGCAUUAGCAGUGUCACAGUGCCCUCUACUGGUCAAGCAUGUACGGUAGCAGUAUAAAUACUGACUGAGCGACUGACUACAAGGCAAAAUAAAAUAAGAUAUAGACCAGUCGACUUGUGUUCGUAUCUGCGAGUGUUCGCUAGUCGGGUGUUCGUAAGUUGGGGACCUAGUGUAUAUAAAUUAAAUAUAUUAAAUUUACCUCUGAGGAUUUCCUGGGUCUGAAGCCUGCUGCGUAGUUCAAUGUCACACAAAAAACUCAGUAAAAACUGAACACCCAAUAGUAGUCUUACUAGACAUGGGGAUGGAUCAGCUGCAGUGCAAACACUCUGGCCACGCCCUGAGGUACAGCUGCACAAUCUAAUGAGGUAUAAAAAAUGCAGCCUUUCCAAAGACGAUAAGGCUCAGUUCACACACUUUAUAUUCAUUUAAAAAAUGUCUAUUCAUUUUUGUAGUGUUCCGGUUUUAAACACUAUUUUUUUCAAGGUGCUACACCUCAGACCAUCGAACCUGCUGAUCUAGAGCAUUCUAAUCAAUUAAAUACAUUUAGAUGAUUGAACAUGACUAUUGAGAGACU